GCAGGAAUGGCGGAACUGGUAGACGCGCAGGCUUCAGGUGCCUGUGGUGGCAACAUCGUGAGGGUUCGAUUCCCUUUUCCUGCA
RNAcentral lists this transfer RNA (84 nucleotides) under Lachnospiraceae bacterium. RNAcentral describes it as "tRNA-Leu". It matches the Rfam family "tRNA". Rfam says of the family: Transfer RNA (tRNA) molecules are approximately 80 nucleotides in length. Their secondary structure includes four short double-helical elements and three loops (D, anti-codon, and T loops). The record is from RNAcentral. RNAcentral also lists the same sequence under 1 other name. Lineage: Bacteria; Bacillati; Bacillota; Clostridia; Lachnospirales; Lachnospiraceae.